CCAAUUCAAAAAUCAAAAGAAAAGAGAGAGUUAAAAUUAUAUCUCAAAAUUUCAAUAUUUUUAAGAAUCCCAGUAGAAUAAUCGAACUGAAAAAAAUGAUAACACCCACCGGGCUAAUAUUUUAUAUUUCUACUCUUUUUGUUUUUGAGCUUCCGAAAUUACCCUACACAGUAUACCUAAAUCAUAUUUUCUCCCUAUUCUCUCUCCAGUCUCUUCCCCAAUUUUCACAAACAAUCUUGGCACUCGGUUUCUCUCUCCAAAUUCCAACUCCAAGAGCGUUCAUCCGUUGCUCCUCCGCCGGCGACAAGCGCAGACAAUCUCCAGACUCCUUAAAGGUACAUAUUCUCUCUCUCUCUAUAUAUAUAUAUAUAAUUUUGUUUAUAUAUAGUUGCAGCAAUGACAUGAGGUCAAUUACAAAAAUGAAUAACAUUUGUUGUUUAAAUCUCGAUUUCCAUAAGGCGUAAAACCCCUACAUCUUGAAAUAUACUAGCUGUGAGGCUUUAAUAUGUCGAUAUAUGUCAGCUUGAGAGGUUUAACAUACUCUUUCGAUCAUUGUUGGGCAAGUUUUAGUCAGAAAGCGUUGAGAUUAUUCUUUAAUAUUUAUUUUAUUGGUGUGAUGCUGGUUGAGCCAUGAUGCUCUACAAGAAAUUUGAAAAUGGUCAAAAAAUAAGCCUCUAGGAUAUUGGGUUCCUUAUGAAGUAUGAACUUCAAAAGUCAGACCUAAAAAAAUUAAAUUAGUGUUUAAUCUAUGAGGACAUAAAUGUAUGUGUUUUUAUUUAAUUAAUUAACACUCCACUGUUGUAGCGAAUCGCAUUUUUUCUGUGUAAAUAAAAUAAGAUUUUACUGGAAUAAUUUAUUUUUUUUACUCCGGUAUGUGUUAUUAUAUUAUUAUGUGCAAUGUAAUAUGUGAUGUGAUGAUAUGUCAAGUAUGAUAAUUAAUAUUUAUUAUAUUUAAUAAAUACCCUCUACUUUGAUGAAAAUGAUUUAUGAAUAUUUUACCCAAAUUUUUUGUUAUGCAUUUUAGUGUAUGUAAUAUAUGUUGUAAGUGGUGCACUAAGUGCAGCAGGAGAGGUAAUUGUUAUGCUCGCCAAACACAGCCUAAGAGUUAAAGUUUACAGUAAAUGAAACUCAGCUUAAUGUGAUAUACGUGGCUGUUAAAACAGGAAAUAAUCUAUUAGUUUAGCAUGUGCUGGCAACUAUUCAAUAACUUAGCUUAAACAACUCAGCCUGCUUAUAACCUAUUACGUGAUUUGCAUAUCUGCUGUCUUUAUAGAGCAGAGCUUCAACUUUUAAGAUCAGUUUUUCUCUUAAGCAACACACAAAUAGCAGUAUGCAAAUAAUCGAAACUCUGUAAUUUCUACGAGCUGGGUUGCGCAAAUACGAAUUAGAAGCAUACCCAAAUUUGGGGUUAUUAAGGAAGAAGAACUACUGUAGCUAGGAGAUGUGAGUUGAGCGAGAACACAUCAAACAUGAGGUAUGAAUUUAAUAAUUGUAUUUUUAGUUCUUCCUCUUAUUUUUUUAAAAAUUGAAGUUAGUCAAUGGGUUUGCUUAAACCGGAGUGAAAUCUAUGAGAUAUAUAUAGAUAUGUGUUUAUCAAAUGAAUUGUAUGUUAUGAAGAAAAUAAAUUAAUUAGAUUAUCAACUACUUGACAUGCAUGUGAUUGUGUAAUUGAUUGCUGUGAAUAUAAUUUAGGCACAAGUAGAUAAGUGGUUGUGGAGUAACAAGGGAGCUAAACUGGAGAUUUAAUGAAAAUAAAUAGUUAUGACACUUGUGUUGAAAAACAGUGCCUGUAAAGUGUUUGAUAAAAUUCCUCAAUGAACUGUUUUGCUUAACAAUUGCUUAUUCGUUAGAAUUAAAGCUUGGGUUAUAUAUAUAUAUUGAGGGUAAGUAAAGGGUUGUGCCUUGUUAAAUGGAAUGAAAACUAAUUUUUUUUUUAGCUAAAACUAAAUGCUAGAAUUUAGCUUGGCAAGCACCUUUACUCACCGUUUUGGAGCAGCCACCAAGUUGAUUGCAUAUUAUGUGUAGAGAUUAUAGAUUGCAUGUUAUUUUAAGGUGGGGUGUAUUAUGUAAAUAUUUUUGAUAAAAGGUUGUGACUAAUUUACCAAAUGGUUGCCAAAAAUGGCAUUAUAUAAGAGCAGGGCUGCUGCCCACGGUGGCAGCCAUGUCUGUUUAUGGCUUCAGAUGGGGGCUUCCUUGGACUUUCAUUUAGUGUAGAUAAUUUCUAAGACAACCCAGCUGUUAUUGCUCUGUAAUAAGUGUAAAUACCAGUUGUGUAAUGUCCAAAACAUAGUGUAAAAGGAGUCAUUCAUGUAGGGGUGAAAGCUGGGCAAAGCACUUGGGGGGGCUGCUGCCUAACGGCAGCAGUAGGUGGCUGUUUUGGGCAACACAAAAGUGGUCUUUCUUGCUCUUAUGGAUGUUAAUCAGUAGUAACCCGUAUCAGUUGGCUAUUACUCUCUUAAAGGUCCAAUCUGAUAUUCUAAAUGUAGCAACACAUGGACCAAAAAGGGAUGGAAAUUAUGAUCUCUUAAAAUAAGGAAUUUGGGAUGAUGGGACUGCUGCUUAAUGACAGCAGCGAGCAGCUGCUAUUGCUGCACUAGUAAGCCAUUUUUGUUGUGUUGUAAUUCAAGAGUUUACUCAUAACUCUUAACUUCUGGAAAAAAAAAAAUAUAUAUAUAUAUAUAGAAUAUAUAAUAAAACCAUAACUUAAUUAGUUGGGUGAUGAGGAAAAGAAAGGAUUUGUAUAAAAAGGGCCACAUAUAGCUGAUAUCAGUAGCAUUAACAAAUGGAAUGAGCAUUAACAGCUAUUGUUUUGCAGCCAUAUUAAUGACUGUUUCGUAAAAGAAUACAAGCAGUAAAUUAGCAAACUCAAUAAAAAGAAUUAUCAUGAGUACUUGGGCAGUAUUGAAAGUACUAAACUGAGUUCAGUUUUAUUAAACCUCAAAAAGGUUGGAUUAGUAUUUCUAGAUAAAACAAGGUUUUGUAACAAGAUAGCAUAUCAGAAUGAAUCUAUAAAUCAUGAAAAAUACCACGGAAUAACCAUACAAGUGGAAAUUAUCUUUAAUGUAUAAAAUAUACUAUCAAGUUACCUUGUGAAACAUGAAAUACCUUCGGUUUUCACCUUGAAUACCUAAGUUAUAAAGAAGAUUACAAAGUAUACUUAUGGGAAAGGAAAGAAGUAAAAGAAAUAGGAACAGAAGUUAUGUCAGACCCUAUAACAGAAAGAAAAGGCUAUUGUAAGAACAUGAGUGAGAUAUUUGAAAAAUGUAAAUAAAUAUCUCAAGUAUGAGAAUAUCAACUAACAACAUGAUCACUGUGAUUAUGUGAUACGUGAACAUACAAGCUAUAUGACUUAGCUAUUUGGCUAAUAUGCCUGUGUAUACAAAUAAUUGUGUAGGAUCUGUGAGGAUACACAAGUUAAGCUGAAAUUAUACAAAUAGUCUACAAACAAGGCAAGUAUCUAAAUCUUACUCUUUAUUGAGCAAGUAUUUUGAGAUUAUUCAUAUGUUGACAGGUUCUCUAAUUUUUGAACUGUCUUUCAUUAUUUAUGAAUAUUGUAAGAUUGAAUAAUCUUUUUAUUCCAAUCAGCUUCAAAAGAUUGGGUAAGCUAUUAUCUUAUGCAUGAGCAGGUUGCAAAGAAGUCUGAGCCAUUCCUUCUGGCCAGGCACAGCUGUGAAAUAUUUCAAUUUCUUUAUAUUAAGUCUUGAAAUAUUAUUGUGCCAUGAUUUAAGCUGUCCAACUAAAUUGUUGUAGUUGGAAUCUAAAACUGAGGAUGAACAUACCCUUAAAUGGGAUAUUUUUAUUGCACUCUGAGAGUGGUGAUGUAGAACAUGAAAAUUGUUCUUGAAAAGAUAGUAUUGAUCAAUACAGGGCAUAAAGGGCUGAUCACCCUACGUGCUCGUAAGUUAAGACGGUUCAUUUGAUAAUAUUUCUGAUUGAACCUUUUUAAGAAAAGAAAAAUAUGUUCAUGGUCUUAAAACCUCUCAGUUAUUCAAUGAUGUUAUGAUAUUUCAGAAAUAUGAAUGAUUCAAGAUUUAUUGCUUUACAGAUUUGAUUCACUGUCACAGCAUGCUUCAAAGAAAACAUUUAUUUCUUGUUGAGCCUUAAAGAAUGCUAUUACUUGCUGAGCAAUUAAAUGCUCAUACUUGUUUUAUUAUAAAUGUUUUCAGCUCAGCAGACUCGGGCAGAAGGGUCUGGAAAAGACAAGGGAAAAGGAAAAAUAGUAGAAUAGCUGAAGAUUGUUGUAAUAGAUAGUUUUCAUGUUUGUAAAUAUUAAACUAUCAUGUAAUAAACGUGUAAAGGUCUACGUACCUGGGAUUAGAAGAACUUUGAUGUAAUAACUUUACUAAGUUUAUGCUUAUUAUGUUCUGAACAUUUUAUUUCCCGAAUUUGGGGGCGUCACAACUGUAGUUCAAGAGUGCCGUCUACUUCAUUAAGAAAUUCAAUGCAAGAGAUGGCUCCUUUCAAUGGUUAAAUUAUAAGAGGUUGGCAGCCUGUUGAUGUGGUUAGGGUGCUAAUGGCGCAUUGAAGUAUUUAGGAAGGUUAAGAAAAGGAGCAUAUUUUAUAUAUACUCGAUUGAGAAAAACUCCUGACAUCAGGUCAACGCAUUUAUACUCCCCUCCAUCCCAUUCUGGCCUAAUAUCAACAUAUCUUUAAGGACUUUCACAGGUUUAAUAUCGAUGGUGAUAGAAAUUGAUAGAGAUGAAUUGUUCCUGUAGUGAUUGUUCUUUGAAGCAUUUCAAAGGAUAAGAUUUUCUGGACCUUAUGGUUGGUGGUGGAAGUGGUUUAGAUACCAGAUUUCAAGAAAUAGAAC
RNAcentral lists this long non-coding RNA (4810 nucleotides) under Panax ginseng (ginseng). RNAcentral describes it as "long non-coding RNA (PGIN_LNC006811)". Lineage: Eukaryota; Viridiplantae; Streptophyta; Magnoliopsida; Apiales; Araliaceae. The record is from RNAcentral.